Molecule: long non-coding RNA, 340 nt
Filed under: Oryza sativa Indica Group (long-grained rice)
Lineage: Eukaryota; Viridiplantae; Streptophyta; Magnoliopsida; Poales; Poaceae
Description: lncRNA OsMH63_04G029310
Source: RNAcentral
AUGAUUCACCAACGUUGGAAAGGAGCACCGGUCGAGGACCACGGCAACGACGCCAACCAUACAUCGUCUCACUCCCUUUUCCCCUUUAUUUCCAGCCAGCUUCGGCAGCUACAUGCAGCAAUCUGCCAAUGUGUAGGAGAUGAACUGAGUGAUGUCCAUAUCCUGGCAUCCCCGAUGUUCUUUGUUUCUACGUACUUCGACAAAGCAUGCAUCAUCAAGAAGCACGGACGGGCUCGUAUGCCUGUGGGCCGUGGUUGUGCCACUUUAUGCGUCGUAGCCUAUGAAGAGCGAUGGCCCUUUCCAGGCUUCCAGCCCAGUGAAAGCCCAUAAGAUGGACCAU